Molecule: ribosomal RNA, 1233 nt
Filed under: metagenome
Description: bacterial LSU rRNA
Rfam family: Bacterial large subunit ribosomal RNA
Source: RNAcentral
UGAAUACGAGACGCUAAGGCGUCGAAGUAGUGUACGUCAUACUUCCAAGAAAAGCUUGCACUGUCAUAGAUAAAAACGCCUGUACCAUAACCGACACAGGUGGGUAGGUAGAGUAUACUAAGGGGCGCGAGAUAACUCUCUCUAAGGAACUCGGCAAAAUAACUCCGUAACUUCGGGAGAAGGAGUGCCUUAUUCGUAAGGUUGCAAUAACAAGAUCCAAGCAACUGUUUAUCAAAAACACAGGUCUCCGCUAAGUCGUAAGACGAUGUAUGGGGGCUGACGCCUGCCCAGUGCCAGAAGGUUAAAGAAGUUGGUUAGCAAUUGCGAAGCUGAUAACUGAAGCCCUGGUGAACGGCGGCCGUAACUAUAACGGUCCUAAGGUAGCGAAAUUCCUUGUCGGGUAAGUUCCGACCCGCACGAAAGGCGUAAUGAUUUGGAUACUGUCUCGGAGAGGGGCUCGGUGAAAUAGACUUGUCUGUGAAGAUGCGGACUACCUGCACCAGGACAGAAAGACCCUAUGAAGCUUUACUGUAACUUGAAAUUGAAAUUGGACUUUAUUCGCGCAGUAUAGGUGGGAGGCGUUGAUUAUAAUCUUGUGGGAUUAUUGGAGCCAUCAGUGAGAUACCACUCUUGUAAUGUUAGAUUUCUAACUUUGAAUCAUUAUCUGGUCAAAGAACAGUUUCAGGCGGGCAGUUUGACUGGGGCGGUCGCCUCCUAAACGGUAACGGAGGCGUACAAAGGUUUCCUCUGAACGGUUAGAAAUCGUAUCUAGAGUGUAAAGGCAUAAGGAAGCUUGACUGUGAGACCUACAAGUCGAGCAGGGACGAAAGUCGGUCUUAGUGAUCUGACGGUACUGAGUGGAAAGGCCGUCACUCAACGGAUAAAAGUUACUCUAGGAUAACAGGCUGAUCUCCCCCGAGAGUUCACAUCGACGGGGAGGUUUGGCACCUCGAUGUCGGCUCAUCGCAUCCUGGGGCGGUAGUACGUCCCAAGGGUUGGGCUGUUCGCCCAUGAAAGCGGUACGCGAGCUGGGUUCAGAACGUCGUGAGACAGUUCGGUCCAUAUCCGGUGUAGGCGUUAGAAUAUUGAGAGGAGCCUUCUUUAGUACGAGAGGACCGAGAAGGACAUACCUCUGGUGUACCAGUUAUCGUGCCAACGGUAAACGCUGGGUAGCUAUGUAUGGAGUGGAUAACCGCUGAAAGCGUCUAAGUGGGAGGCCCACCUCAAGAUAAG